AUUGAACGCUGGCGGAAUGCUUUACACAUGCAAGUCGAGCGGCAGCACGGGGGCAACCCUGGUGGCGAGCGGCGAACGGGUGAGUAAUACAUCGGAACAUGCCCAGUCGUGGGGGAUAACACUUCGAAAGAAGUGCUAAUACCGCAUACGUCCUGAGGGAGAAAGCGGGGGGAUCGCAAGACCUCGCGCGAUUGGAGUGGCCGAUGUCAGAUUAGCUAGUUGGUGGGGUAAAGGCCUACCAAGGCAACGAUCUGUAGCUGGUCUGAGAGGAUGAUCAGCCACACUGGGACUGAGACACGGCCCAGACUCCUACGGGAGGCAGCAGUGGGGAAUUUUGGACAAUGGGGGCAACCCUGAUCCAGCCAUUCCGCGUGAGUGAAGAAGGCC
This 387-nucleotide ribosomal RNA is filed under the name uncultured bacterium. Its description in RNAcentral is "bacterial SSU rRNA". It matches the Rfam family "Bacterial small subunit ribosomal RNA", at positions 29 to 416 of the family's 1533-position model. The record is from RNAcentral.